RNAcentral lists this ribosomal RNA (861 nucleotides) under uncultured Planctomycetota bacterium. RNAcentral describes it as "bacterial SSU rRNA". It matches the Rfam family "Bacterial small subunit ribosomal RNA", at positions 28 to 916 of the family's 1533-position model. Lineage: Bacteria; Pseudomonadati; Planctomycetota. The record is from RNAcentral.
CGCGAACGCUGGCGGCAUGGCUAAAGCAUGCAAGUCGAACGAUUAAAGCCCCUUCGGGGGUGUAUAAAGUGGCGUAAGGGCGAGGAAUACAUUUCUACGUACCCCGAGGUCGAGGAUAGCCCAGGGAAACUUGGAGUAAUACUCGACGUGGUCCUUCGGGAUCAAAGGCUUCGGUCGCCUUGGGAGCGGGGAAUGUCCUAUCAGGUUGUUGGUGAGGUAACGGCUCACCAAGCCUCUGACGGGUAGCGGGUGUGAGAGCAUGACCCGCCGCAUCGGGACUGAGACACUGCCCGGACUCCUACGGGAGGCUGCAGCAACGAAUCUUCCGCAAUGCGCGAAAGCGUGACGGAGCAAUGCCGCGUGCAGUAUGAAGCCCCUCGGGGUGUAAACUGCUGUCAGAGUUCAGCAACACAAUGAGCAGACUCAAAGGAAGGGCCGGCUAACUUCGUGCCAGCAGCCGCGGUAAUACGAAGGGCCCGAGCGUUGCGCGGAAUCACUGGGCUUAAAGCGUACGUAGGCGGACAUGCAGGCAUCUUGUGAAAUCCCUCGGCUCAACCGAGGAACUGCAGGGUGAACCGCAUGUCUUGAGGUGAGUAGGGGCUGUCGGAACGAUAGGUGGAGCGGUGAAAUGCGUUGAUAUCUAUCGGAACGCCAAAGGCGAAGGCAGACAGCUGGGCUUAUUCUGACGCUGAGGUACGAAAGCGUGGGGAGCGAACGGGAUUAGAUACCCCGGUAGUCCACGCCGUAAACGAUGUGCACUAGAUCGAGGGAGUUCUGACACUAUUCUCGGUCGAAGCAAAAGUGUUAAGUGCACCGCCUGGGGAGUACGGUCGCAAGGCUAAAACUCAAAGGAAUUGACGG